Molecule: ribosomal RNA, 253 nt
Filed under: uncultured bacterium
Lineage: Bacteria
Description: partial 16S ribosomal RNA
Rfam family: Bacterial small subunit ribosomal RNA
Source: RNAcentral
UACAGAGGGGGCAAGCGUUGUUCGGAAUUACUGGGCGUAAAGGGCGCGUAGGCGGCCAGAUAAGUCCGGUGUGAAAGUCAAAGGCUCAACCUUUGAAUGCCGCUGGAAACUGUCUGGCUUGAGUCCGGAAGGGGCGAGUGGAAUUCCUGGUGUAGCGGUGAAAUGCGCAGAUAUCAGGAGGAACACCAAUGGCGAAGGCAGCUCGCUGGAACGGUACUGACGCUGAGGCGCGAAAGCGUGGGGAGCGAACAGG